RNAcentral lists this transfer RNA (74 nucleotides) under Bdellovibrionales bacterium. Its description in RNAcentral is "tRNA-Arg". It matches the Rfam family "tRNA". Rfam says of the family: Transfer RNA (tRNA) molecules are approximately 80 nucleotides in length. Their secondary structure includes four short double-helical elements and three loops (D, anti-codon, and T loops). Further hydrogen bonds mediate the characteristic L-shaped molecular structure. tRNAs have two regions of fundamental functional importance: the anti-codon, which is responsible for specific mRNA codon recognition, and the 3' end, to which the tRNAs corresponding amino acid is attached (by aminoacyl-tRNA synthetases). tRNAs cope with the degeneracy of the genetic code in two manners: having more than one tRNA (with a specific anti-codon) for a particular amino acid; and 'wobble' base-pairing, i.e. permitting non-standard base-pairing at the 3rd anti-codon position. RNAcentral also lists the same sequence under 1 other name. The record is from RNAcentral. Lineage: Bacteria; Pseudomonadati; Bdellovibrionota; Bdellovibrionia; Bdellovibrionales.
GGGCCUUUAGCUCAGUUGGAUAGAGCGUCUGGCUACGAACCAGAAGGUCGGGAGUUCGACUCUCUCAAGGCCCG